RNAcentral lists this ribosomal RNA (256 nucleotides) under uncultured bacterium. Its description in RNAcentral is "partial 16S ribosomal RNA". It matches the Rfam family "Bacterial small subunit ribosomal RNA", at positions 524 to 776 of the family's 1533-position model. The record is from RNAcentral.
UACGUAGGAGACGAGCGUUGUCCGGAGUUACUGGGCGUAAAGGGUGCGCAGGUGGCUGUGCGCGUGGGGGGGUGAAAUCGCCCGGCUUAACUGGGCGGGGGCCUUCCAGACGGCGUAGCUUGAGCAGCGGAGGGGGACGUGGAAUUCCUGGUGUAGCGGUGAAAUGCGCAGAUAUCAGGAGGAACACCGAUGGCGAAGGCAGGUCUCUGGGCCACUACUGACGCUGGAGAACGCGAAAGCAUGGGGAGCGAACAGG